RNAcentral lists this long non-coding RNA (1507 nucleotides) under Triticum aestivum (bread wheat). Its description in RNAcentral is "long non-coding RNA (TAES_LNC003337)". The record is from RNAcentral. Lineage: Eukaryota; Viridiplantae; Streptophyta; Magnoliopsida; Poales; Poaceae.
UCGUCGCGAAGUACAGGCCAGCGAUGCCAGUCUUGAACUGCGUGGUUCCAGAGCUGAAGACCGACAAUGAUUUCGACUGGACUUGCAGCGACGAGGCUCCUGCAAGGCAGAGUCAAAUUGUUAGGGGCCUGAUCCCAAUGUUGAGUGCCGCUACCGCAAAGGCUUCUGAUACUGAGGCCACCGAGGAGGCCGUCAGUUUUGCCCUGGAUUAUGCCAAGAAGCUCGGCCUCUGCAAGUCGGGAGAUUCAGUUGUUGCGGUGCAUCGUCUCAGCGCAUCAUCCCUCGUCAGGAUCUUGACAGUGGAUUAGGGUCAGGUGAUGUUGGCUCAUGGGGGCAAAUUUUGUUAGGUUGUUAUCGGAUCAUCGCUAUCAUUUUGUUGGCUCAUCCCACGUCGUGAGUCCUAUAUUACGUCUUGUGUUCAGCUACGCAUAGUAAAGAGUUGGUGUCGCCCAUUCUGAAUAUCUUGCUAAAUAAUACAUACUCGCUACUCAAUAUAUAUGCCACUUCAUGCUCAGUGUGUUUGGCUGUCUAAGUUUUAUACAAAGAUCAUGCGUUGUGGUACACAUGCAGUGUGAGCAGCUGAGCAGGUUCCUUUAGGAAUGGGUCGGUUCCGUUUCUAUGUUUGGUUAUGAGUAUUAGAUAGAAUGGAACGGUUCCGUUCUGGUGUUUGGUUGGUGAGUUGGAAUGGUAUGAUUUUCAGCAACAGGAUGAAUAAUAUUAACUCUUUGUAUUUUCAGCAGCAGAGUAUUCAAGUUCUAAGAAAUAUUUGAAUUGUAUUUACAACACCAACAAUUUAUAAAUAUACUCAAGCAUAUAUCAAACUUAAAUUCACACUAUUUUUAACAAGUCACAUAUAUAGGUAAAAAAUCAUUACCCAGCAAUUCAACAUACACAUCAAGCAAAAAUCAUGAAAAAUUAGAUGCUGCUGCUAUACUAAUUAAUCCAACAUACGCACCAAGCAAUUCCUGUACUGCCGCUAUACUCGUCUCUAUCGAUGCUGCUCUUUGUUGCUGCUGCUCCGCUGCCUACUAGCCACUUCUUGCCCAGGCUCUGCUACUCUACUCCACGUCCGCCACCGCCGAAGGCAGCCAGGGAAUCGAUCCGCCGCAAGCCGCCGCUGCUGAGGAGCGCCACCAGAAAUCCAUCUGUCGCAAGCUAGGGAAUCAACCCGCAACAAUGAGACGAGGGAUGAGCCUGGGAUGCCAGAUCAGGGACCGAAGGUGGAGCAGCGCUGCAGAUCGAGAGAGGAGGAGUUGGCCGGCAGUGAGGUAAGGAAUCGGUGCAGGGCGGGGUGGGGCGGUUGCGGCGCAGAUCGAGGGAGUGGGAGACGAGGGGGAGGCGGCGCACCAGGGAGGAGAGGCGAUAGGACUGGGAGUGCGAGGAGAAAGCCGGUUCCGCGUCAUCCGCUCGUUUUGGAGGUCUCACCCGGUUCCGCAUCUGGGGCGAAUAUUCGACCCGUGGGAACGAGGUGGUGAUACUCCAUCUGUCAACUGAACACGAGAACCAG